This 2165-nucleotide ribosomal RNA is filed under the name Candidatus Ghiorseimicrobium undicola. RNAcentral's name for it is "bacterial LSU rRNA". It matches the Rfam family "Bacterial large subunit ribosomal RNA", at positions 1 to 2125 of the family's 2925-position model. The record is from RNAcentral. Lineage: Bacteria; Pseudomonadati; Candidatus Omnitrophota.
UGGUCAAGUUACCAAGGGUCUAUGAAGGAUGACUUGGUUAAAUAAGGCGAUGAAGGACGCGGUAAGCGGCGAUACUGCUCGGGGGAGUUGCAAACAAGCUUUGAUCCCGGGAUUUCCGAAUGGGACAACCCAUCAUGAGUUAUGUCAUGAUAUCCUGUCUUGAAAUUCAAAAUAGGGAUAGGAAGCGAUACCCGGGGAAGUGAAACAUCUCAGUACCCGGAGGAAAAGAAAACACAGUGAUUCCCUUAGUAGCGGCGAGCGAAGGGGGAAGAGCCUAAACCUUUGGCACUUGUGUCAAAGGGGUUGCGGGACUUCAAUAUGAUAGACAGAGAGAUAGCGGAAUUAUCUGGAAAGAUAAGCUAUAGAGAGUGAUAGCCUCGUAUGCGAAAUCUCAAAGUCGUCUAGAAGUAUCCCAAGUACUACGGGGCACGGGAAAUCCUGUAGGAAUCUGGGCCGACCAUGGUCUAAGGCUAAAUACUAAAUUUAAACCGAUAGUGUACAAGUACCGUGAGGGAAAGUUGAAAAGAACCCCGGGAGGGGAGUGAAAUAGAACCUGAAAUCAUAGAUCUACAAGCUGUCUGAGCUCUAUGUUCCGGACUUGUCCGGAAAACGAGCGAGGGCGUACCUUUUGUAUAAUGGACCGGCGAGUUAUUGUAUGGUGCAAGCUUAAGGUGUUAUGCGCCGAAGGCGUAGCGAAAGCGAGUCUGAAUAGGGCGUUUAGUACCAUAUAAUAGACCCGAAACUGAGUGAUCUACCCAUGGCCAGAGUGAAGUUUCGAGAAAUCGAAAUGGAGGCUCGAACUCAUCAGCGUUGAAAAACUGUGGGAUGAGCUGUGGGUCGGAGCGAAAGACUAAUCAAACUCAGUGAUAGCUGGUUCUCCCCGAAAUAGUUCUAGGACUAGCCUCGUAAAAUGGAUGAUGGGGGUAGAGUGCUGAAUGGGCUAGGGGCCCUACCAGGCUGCCAAACCCAACCAAACUCCGAAUACCAUCACACCUUAUUACGGGAGUCAGACUACGAGGGAUAAGCCUCGUGGUCGCGAGGGAAACAGCCCAGACCGCCAGUUAAGGUCCCUAAACAUAGCCUAAGUGGUAAAGGAUGUGGAUUCACUUUGACAACCAGGAUGUUGGCUCAGAGGCAGCCAUCAUUUAAAGAGUGCGUAACAGCUCACUGGUCGAGUGAUUCUGCGCCGAAGAUGAUCGGGGCUUAAGGCUAUUACCGAAACUGCGGCUUUUAUCAAAUUUAUUUGAUGAAGGGGUAGGGGAGCGUUCUGUUCUAGGUUGAAGGCGUACCGUAAGGAGCGCUGGACGAGACAGAAGUGAUUAUGCCGGUAUGAGUAGCGAAAAUCACGGCGAGAAACCGUGACGCCGGAAAUCCAAGGUUUCCUGGGGAAGGUUAAUCCGCCCAGGGUUAGUCGAUCCUAAGCCGAGGCCGAAAGGCGUAGGCGAUGGACAGUCUGUUAAUAUUCAGACACUGAUUAAUGAGCGUUUUACUUAAAGAAUUGACGCAGUAAGCUAGGUAUGCGAAGUGUUGGAUGUCUUCGUUCGUGCCUGUACCUUUGGUGUAACAGCCAAAGCGAGGGGAGCGGGGAUCCUGCGCGACAGCAAGGGAGAAGUUACUGAGGCUACACUGCCGAGAAAAUUUUCUUUAAGGAGUGAUUUAAUCAAUCGUACCGUAAUCCGACACAGGUAGAUCACCAUAAAAUGGUAAGGCGCUCGAGAUAACUCUUGUUAAGGAACUCGGCAAUCUAGCCCUGUAACUUCGGGAGAAAGGGUGCCGUUGACAGUGUAGAAAUUUACUUUUGAAGCUGUCAAUGGUCACAGUAAAGUGGCCCGUGUGACUGUUUAGCAAAAACACAUCUCUCUGCAAAGUCGUAAGACGACGUAUAGGGAGUGACACCUGCCCGGUGCUGGAAGGUUAAGGGGAAAGGUUAUCCUUUUAGGAGAAGCUUUGAACCGAAGCCCUAGUAAACGGCGGCCGUAACUAUAACGGUCCUAAGGUAGCGAAAUUCCUUGUGGGGUAAGUUCCCACGCGCACGAAUGGUGUAACAACAUGGGCGCUGUCUCAACGAGAGGCUCGGCGAAAUUGUAGUGGCGGUGAAGAUGCCGUCUACCCGCAGCAAGACGAAAAGACCCCGGAACCUUUACUGUAUUCUGGUAUUGGAUUUU